CUUUGGGGGUGCUUUGAUUCAUUUUGGGGGUGCUGAAGCACCCCCAAAAUGGGCUAAAAUCGCCCCUGUGUGGUCCCCAUAUGCUUCAACAGAUCCACCAUCAUCCCUGUGCCCAAGAACAACAAGCCCUCAUGCCUGAAUGACUACCGGCCAGUUGCACUGGUUAUGAAGGUGUUCGAGAGGCUGUUAAAGAACAUCAUCUCCUCCUCCAUCCCAAACACCGCUCCACAGAUCCACUCCAGUUUGGCUACUGACCGAACAGAUCCACAGAGGAUGCCAUCGCCAUGUCCUGCACACCACUCUUAGCCACGUGGACAAGAAACAAGACUGUGUGGCCACCCAUGGCUCCAGUACCAUUGUGAAGUUUGCUGACGACACAGUGGUAUUGGGUGCUAUCUCCAACAAUGAUGAGGCAGUCUACAUAGAUGAAGUGAAGAAUCUGGCAUCGUGGUGCCAGGAUAACCACCUCUAGCUGAACGUCAGCAAGACCAAGGAGCUGGUGGUGUCACAACACCAGCCAACACAGAGAAGAGGACUCAAAUGCAGACACCACAUGGAGGCUCGGAGAUUCUGUCAGAGAUCAAGAAAGAAACAAGGGACAAAGCUGAAGAGAACUGACUGCCAUUGGACUGCAAAGUGGGAGAGGAGAACAGAGUGGAGGAAGCAGGUGUCGUGAGGUACCAUGACAAGGAGUGACUGAAGGAGAUCAUCCACAAGAUGGAAGCUGAGGCCAGGAGAGAGGCUUCAGGAGGAUCAGUGAGGAGCAGAGAUCACCUUCAGCACAGCAGACAUCCCACAGAGAGCUGUGCCACUGGGCUUCCAGGAGAUCGUCGAGAGGAGACUUUGAACAACAAACAUCCAAAAGGAGUGAAAGAGAUUCGACAUUGACGUUGAGGAAGACAACUAGGGUGUAAGACUUGCGCUACCCUAAAUCUUCAGCGGCACUGGAACAGGGAAGCAGAAGGAUGAAGGGAGCAUGCCAAGCUCUAAUCGACGGUGCAGAGAGGAAGUUCAGCAAUGGAAUUGUGAUUCUGUGAACAGCACAGAUGCCAGGUGAUUGGGAAAUAACUGACAGCACUUUCCCAUGAAGAUCAUCUAAGGUGUUUCACUUUGCCAUGCAGACUUUGUUACUCUGCAGAGGGGCUUUCGUUUACAUUUACAUCAUGAACACUUCUAUAAGCUGGAUGGAGUUUUGAGCCAUGGGCGUGGACAUGACUCAAAAAGGGGGGGAGAAGAUCAUAAACAACUUGAUCCAAUUUCCUUUAAAAAAAAUUUCUGCAGAUGAAAGGAAAGGAGUCGUAAAUGCAGAUGACCCACCAGUUGACUCUGUCACCCCACAGGAAGGAUGCCUGCAGUGAGAAGAUUUGGGGGUUUGAUAGGGGUCAUAAAAAUAAGUGUUGACCAAGCUACAGCUUUGAAGAUAGCUGAAAGCCUCAUAGACAAACAAAACAACCAGCUGGUGUGUUUGAAUGUCUAUUCUGCAGACAUUUAAACUCGGGUCAUAUGGACAAUGAUGGAAACACCUGGAAGAGACAUUUAUGAAGCUAUGCAAAACUCAACCACUCUGCAGAGAGGUGUGUGAUUUACACACCAGGAGGAGAUGCACCACAAAGCUGGAAUUCUUUUGAGAAUGCUGAUUAGUGUUUUUGACUGUUGACAUUCAUUUGUUUACUUGCAGGAUGCAGUUUACUGUAUAUGAGAUGAAUGAGAAGUAGGAUAAUUGCUAAACACGUUUAGUACAUGUAUUAACUGUGAACUUUUGCAGCGAUAGGAGGUGAAUGACGUGAGGAGCUGUGUAUGAAUGGAACCUACACUGAAACUGUCAAACACAAGGGUACAUAAGUGGAAAUUUAAGUACAAUAAUGACAAAAAGAGGGGACUGUUGGAGUCAAAUUGUUAAAUGUUGUCAUUGUGUUACUUAAAUUUGUAAGUCUUAAUUCAAGCAGCAUGAUCAAAGACAUUCCUUUGUAUCUGACUCCCUCCCCAGUCUGUUGGUGGGGGAGGCUGUAGUGUUUUAUUAUAGGGACACAUCCUAUGUGAGGGUUCUGUUUUCUUGUUUAGUAAACUUCCUGCCUUUAUGACCCUUUUGUGAGCAGGAGGUCACACAAACGCACCCCCAAACACAAACACACACACACACAUACACACACACACACAUACACACAUUCUCGCACUUGCACACACACACACACACACACACACACACAGAUGCUUGCACAUACAUGCACACACACACACGCGCAGUGUUUAAACCUUUUGUGACCAUAGGGGGGUUUUACAAUGGGUGGUGCUUGUGUGUACUGUAACUGUUUUCAAUAAAAGGCGGCAAGCGGAAGCUAGUUCUUCGAAGUGGUUUGACCGAGGGCAGAAGGGCUGCUCUGAGAUCCUUCCCUUGCGUAAGUAAAAUCGCUGCUCAUCUUGCUUCCUUGUCGUUAACGGGAAUACGUUUCUAAACCAGCGGGGGCCUGUGGAAGCGCAGACCCAACAAACAUGCUGGUGAAUUUAGAAAUAUAACCAACUGCACAGUGCCUUGUAAAAAAUAUUCAUAGCUCAACCCUUUUAAAAUAAUUGUCACAGUACAAAAACAAACUUUAAUAUAAUGUUCUGUUAAUUAGUUCACUUUCUGAAAAACACAUGCAAAUUCAUAUUAAAAAAGAAGGAAAUAUAAAGUAUAUAAUGUCACAUUUGAAUAAAAAGUUAACUAAGAUUCCCAAAGCUGAACAACCAUUGUUUAUGUUGUCAUUCAGAUCUCACAUAGACUGACAAACUCUUCCUGUAGAGUAGUUCUAUAUAAGAUAAGAUAAGAUAAGAUAAGAUAAGACUUUAUUGAUCCCACGACGGGGAAAUUUUUGCGUCACCUCAGCUCAGGUACAGAUAUCAGAAGGAAAUACAAAGAAAAUACAAAUAAGUACAAUCAAUGAAAAAAGUAAGAUAAUACACUAUAUACAAUGGUAGCACACACAGUAUAAUACACUAUAUACAAUGGUAGCAUACACAGUAUGUGAUUAUGGAUAUGGUUGGAAAUAUGGAAGACAUAAACUAUAUCGCUUGAUAUAGCUAUUGUACCACUACUAUUCCUAUUUAUAGACAUGUACACACACACAUGUACACACUAAAUAUACAUAUGUAUACAUAUACAUACAUAUAUACCUGCACAUGUCCAUACACAUGGAAGGUCCAUUAUGCAUGAAGUGGUGACCGUGGAUGUUCACAGUGUCCAGUGACUUAUGAUAUUGUGAUUGAGGAGUUAUAGAGUCUAUAUCAACUAAUUCUGUACGAUUAAAAAAUGUCUUGACUGUAAGGGGAUUGCUGUGCUUUGCAGAGUUUGUUUUAUGAUUAUUGACGCCCUGUUAUAAGUUAUAAGCAGGUGAAACUUGAACUCUACCCUGAAUCUGUAGUCUUAUGCAUUUAUUAUUUUCAUGUGCAAGUCCAGCUUCAGGGUUCAGUAGAAAAUGCCAGAUGUAACUAUGAUGUCACAGUAAAAAGAAGAAGAAAAUAAUACUGAACACCACAGAGUCAGAGAUGUUAGAAUGUGUUUAAAAUUCUAAGUGUUUUGUGUUAAAAAGUGUGUAACCUUUUGUUUUUUAGAUGUUUUUAAUCAUUGAAUUUAUCAAUAGCAAGACUGUAAACAUCGUACCAAAGUCCUGGUUUAACGAUGAAAUUACGAGGUGGCCAAACUGUAGUAGCAAUAAAUGAAUAAAGAGAGUGGUUCAAAACAAUGAAGAGCCAGGAAAAGACUGGAAACGCGUUGAUGUUUGAGUCCUCUGAAGAACAGAUUGCUUUGCUCUGUUCUCUCUGUAAAGCUUCACUUUUGUCACACUCCCUACCUCUUCCAAGAAACUGAAGUAGAACUCUGCACUCUGUGACUUUCUGAAAAUGGAGUAAUUGUUAAUCUUUUGUGAAUUCUGAAUAGGCAAUUAACUAAAGCCAAGAGAGAAACUGAAGGAAGAGCUACAGACAGACAAAACCAAGGUUUGAUUUUUAUAGAUUUGUCACAAGUAUCCAACAUUUGAAAAAUACCAAAACCAUUAUUUACUUUUGUGUAUUAUCAUGUGGUCAAGUACUGGACUGUUUGUGUCCUUUUGAGGCCAAAUCCCACAGGGCUUCUUAGAUUAGAUUGAUGAGUAUUUGAACUGUUAGCAAUUCUUGAUUGUGGUAUCUUUUAUUGUAGUUCCAACACUGAUUGAUCAGUUAUCAUAACUGAAGCAAACGUUUCAGUUAACCAUGCUAAAAAGUAACAAGACUUGUUGUGAUUUGUUUU
Long non-coding RNA from Oreochromis niloticus (Nile tilapia), 4261 nucleotides. RefSeq lists it as uncharacterized. Lineage: Eukaryota; Metazoa; Chordata; Actinopteri; Cichliformes; Cichlidae. The transcript has 5 exons. The record is from RefSeq and is a predicted model, not a curated record.